Molecule: ribosomal RNA, 492 nt
Filed under: uncultured bacterium
Lineage: Bacteria
Description: partial 16S ribosomal RNA
Rfam family: Bacterial small subunit ribosomal RNA
Source: RNAcentral
AGUGAACGCUGGCGAUAGGCCUAACACAUGCCAGUCGAACGGCAGCACAGUAAGAGCUUGCUCUUACGGGUGGCGAGUGGCGGACGGGUGAGGAAUACAUCGGAAUCUACUUUUUCGUGGGGGAUAACGUAGGGAAACUUACGCUAAUACCGCAUACGACCUACGGGUGAAAGCAGGGGAUCUUCGGACCUUGCGCGAUUGAAUGAGCCGAUGUCGGAUUAGCUAGUUGGCGGGGUAAAGGCCCACCAAGGCGACGAUCCGUAGCUGGUCUGAGAGGAUGAUCAGCCACACUGGAACUGAGACACGGUCCAGACUCCUACGGGAGGCAGCAGUGGGGAAUAUUGGACAAUGGGCGCAAGCCUGAUCCAGCCAUACCGCGUGGGUGAAGAAGGCCUUCGGGUUGUAAAGCCCUUUUGUUGGGAAAGAAAAGCAGCAGGUUAAUACCCCGCUGUUCUGACGGUACCCAAAGAAUAAGCACCGGCUAACUUCGUG